CUUUUUUUUUUUUUUUUUGCCAUUUCUUGGGCCGCGCCCGCGGCAUAUGGAGGUUCCCAGGCUAGGGGUCUCAUCGGAGCUGUAGCCGCCAGCCUACGCCACAGUCACAGCAAUGCGGGAUCCGAGCCGCAUCUGCAACCUACACCACAGCUCACGGCAACGCCGGAUCCUUAACCCACUGAGCAAGGCCAGGGAUCGAACCGCAACCUCAUGGUUCCUAGUCAGAUUCGUUAACCACUGCGCCACGACGGGAACUCCUACCUGGUCUUAUUGAUCAUUUUCUUCUUUUUUUGUGUGUGCUGUGAGAACACUUAAGAUCUACCCUCUUAGCCCCUGUCAAGUAUACAAGACAGUAUAUUUACCUGUAGUCUCCAUGCCGUGUAUAGAUCUCCAGAAUUUACUCACCUUGCCUACCUGAACGUUUGUAUCCUUUUUACUUUUUAUUUUUAUUUUUAAAGUUGUAUUGGCGUUUAGUUGGCUUAACAAAUGUCGUGUUAGCUUUGGACGUACAGCAAAAGGAAUCAGUCAUCCAUACAGAUAUAUCCAUUCUUUUUUCCCCAUAUAGGUUAUCGAAAACUAUUGAGUAGAUUUUCCUGUGCUACGCAGUAGGUUCUCGUUCAUCAUCUAUUUUAUACCAUAGUGUCGUUACUUCUCUUUUUGGUUAUGUUGUUACAGCACCUGGACAAACAUUGAAAAAGUAGUGGACAUGUUAUAUUGAGGUUCAUGAUCAAAUACACCCUUAUAGCUUUUCUCAAAAGAGUCUUUCUAUUUCAGACAGCAACCAGGAAAGUAAGUCCUGGAAUGUUGCUUUUUUACAACUAUUCAGUAACCAAGUAGCCUUUUGAAGUAUUUUAUAUAUGCGUUUUAACUUGUCCCAGGGUAUUAAUUAUACAUAGCAGGAGCUAUUGGUCUCUGUUUUUUUCUUUUCUUUCUUUUUUUUUUUUAAUGCCAAACUAUAAUGUAAGGCAGCUUUAUUAGCUAAUAUUCUUCUGGCGGAAAAAUCUGGUGUCUUUUGCUGGGAGGCUAUGGCUUGAGCUGUUUCAUGGCUGUAUCUAAAGUGGGAUAUGAGGAAACCUUGAAGCCGUAAAGUUGCAGCUUGCAGCUGUUAACAGCUGCUGUUUUUGAGAACAGUUGGUGGUGCCCUUCCAUCUAAUAAAAUUUUGAAAAUGCCAGUUCUUGGUAAGAGAGGAAUGUGUCUGAACCCACAGUGGCCACCUACUUGAUUUCGAAUGUCAGAACCACAAUUACUCUAUUCUGAUUUUCUUCAUGCGUUUCUCCUUAAUGGCAAAAGCAGAUGUACAGCGCAGGUUUCAGAGGCCACAAACAGGCUGUUUCAGUUAGCUUAAAGCUCAAAUUAAAUCAUGUAUGAGCCGGAAGGACUCCCCCAUACCUUAGCAUGAGAAAAUUUCCAUGUUAUCAUACACAGUUGUCACAUUAGCACUGUACACAGGCGUUCAGCAAUAGACUUAAAAAUACAGCGGGCACUGGCAUAUCUCAGGAGCAGUCAUACACUGUGAAAAAUCCCUUAGAAAAUGAUUUUCUGGAGUUCCUGAUGUGGCGCAGCAGGUCAGGGGCCCAGUGUUAUCUCUGUGAGGAUGCAGGUUCAACCCCUGGCCUUGCCCAAUUCAGUUUUCGGCAUUUGCCGCCAGCUGCGAUCUGCCCCUCAGCUGCUGCUCCAGUUCAGCCCCUAGCCUGGGAACUUCCAUAUGUUGCAGAUGCUACCAUUAAAAAACAAACAAACAAACGAAAAACAAGUAAAUGAUCUUCCUCUCCUAAACACUCUGGGCAACAGCAUGAUUAGAAGUCAAACAGUAAUUUUCAGUUUUGACACGGAGACAGACCUUUGGUACAUGGUCCAAUUAAAGUAGCCACACAAGCCUGGUCCGCGUUCUUGGGUCUCCUGCCUGCCACCGGCGUUGUUUUCUUCCCAUCCUGGUGUAAACGUUGUUUGGGGUCAGCAGUCCUUUCUAUGGACCAGUCUGUAGAAGAGCAAAGGCUCUUCUCAAGGGAGGAGUAAGUACUUAAGAGUUAAUUACCUUCAAUUUCUUGGUGCAUGAUGUACUUUACCUGGUAAGGAGUUCCCUGGUGGCCUAGCAGUUAAGGAGCUGGUGUUGUCAUGGCUGUGGUUCUAGUCACUGCUGUCCCUGGCCUAAACUUCUAUAUGCCAUGGGUGCAGCCAAAAAAAAAAAAAAAAAAAGAAUGCCUGAUAAGUGGCCUUUCAUCUACAUUGGGGAGACAGUUCUUUAAAUGAUGCUUUUUCCAGUAUGUAUAAUCUGCUAGUUAUAGAUCAUGGGGCAUCUGAUCUUUAUCCAAAGGUAGAUUACAGUGAUCAGCUUCAGAACAGGCUGAGAGGAGUUCCCUGGUGGCCUAGUGGGUUUAGGAUCAGGCAUUGUCACUUCUGUGGCUCAGCUUUUUUUUUUUUUUGCUUUUUAGGGCUGCACCCACGGCAUAUGGAGGUUCCCAGGCUGGAGGUUGAAUCGGAGCUACAGCUGCCAGUCUACACCACAGCCACAGCAACAUAAGAUCCGACAACAUAAGAUCCGAGCCACAUCCGUGACCUACACCACAGCUCAUGGCAACGCCGGAUCCUUAACCAACUGAGCGAAGCCAGGGAUCGAACCUGCAACCUCAUGGAUCCUAGUCGGGUUUGUCAACUGCUGAGCCAUAAAGGGAACUCCUGUGGUGCAGCUUUGAUUCCUGGCCUGGAAGCUUCUGCAUGUGCCCUGAGUACAGCCUAAAUAAAUGAAUAAAUAAAAGGAAGCAAGCUUAGAAUAUCUCCUUUUGUUUGUUUGUUUGUUUGUUUGUUUUUGUCUUUUGUCUUUUGUCUUUGAGGGCUGCACUCUGGUUAUAUGGAGGUUCCCAGGCUAUGGGUCUAAUUGGAGCUGUUGCUGCUAACCUACGCCAGAGCCACAGCAACGCCAGAUCCAAGCGGCAUCUGCGACCUACACUACACCACACACAGCUCAUGGCAAUGCCGGAUCCUUAACCCACUGAGUGAGGCCAGGGAUCGAACCUGCACUUCAUGGUUCCUAGUCGGAUUCGUUUCUGCUGUGCCAUUCCGGGAACUCCUAGAAUAUCUUUUAAUAACUCAGUUAAACUUUACAAUAAUGUACCAUAGCAGCAAAGACCUAUUUGGGGAUAGGAGUUUUAGACAGUAAGUACUGAUCUCUAUGAACAAAACUGGAAUUUAACAUCUGUUGAAAUGUAAUCUUUUUCUCUCCAAAAUUAUCCUCAUUUUUACCAAAUAUGGCCAAAUUAAUGUGUUUGCAAAAUAAGUCUGGUUAAUUGAUCACAUCGGCUUUUUUAAUUGGUUGCUUUGGAACUUUUCAUAAGGAAUCUCAGACUGCACUUUGUUUUUCUUUUUAGGACCAUACUUGGGGCAUGCAGAAGUUCCCAGGUUAGGGGUCAAUUCAGAGCUGCGGCUGCCGGCCAACACCACAGCCACAGCAAAACAGGAUCCAAGCCACACCUGCAGCCUAUACCACAGCUCAUGGCAAUUCUGUAUCCUUAACUCACUGAGUGAGGCCAGGGAUCAAACCUGCAUCCUCGUGGAUACUAGUCAGAUUCUUAGCCCACUGAGCCAACUGAGCCACAGUGGGAACUCCCAGACUGAACUUUUAUUUAUUUAUUUAUUUAUUUAUUUAUUUAUUUUUGCUUUUUAGGGCCGCACCCGCGGCAUAUGGAGGUUCCCGGGCUAGGGGUCGAAUCGGAGCUGUAGCCACCGGCCUACGCCAGAGCCACAGCAACGUGGGAUCCGAGCCGCGUCUGCAGCCUACACCACAGCUCACGGCAACGCCGGAUCAUUAACCCACUGAGCAAGGGCAGGGACUGAACCCGCAACCUCAUGGUUCCUAGUCGAAUUCGUUAACCACUGUGCCACGACGGGAACUCCUGAAUCAAAUAUUUUAAUGUAAAACAUUAGUUUAUACAUUUUGUUGUAUUUCCCCUCUUUAUCGUAAAACAGCUCUAAUUGUAUGAUUGUUGCAUAGGUUUUGUUUUGAUUCUUUUUCUUUUCUUUUUUUAAAUUUUUUUUCUUUUUUGUGGUCACCCCAUAGCAUAUGGAGUUCCCCACCCAGGGAUCAGAUCUGAGGUGCAGUUGUGACCCACGAGGCAGCAACACCGGAUCCUCCGGCCUAUUUUGUUGGGACUGGGGAUUGAACCUGCACCCUGGCGCGGCAGAGAUGCUGCUGGUCCUGCUGCACCACAGUGGGAACCCCUGGUUCUUUGUUUUUGUUUUCGUUUUUCUUUUUAUAGCAUCACCUGCAGCACAUGCAAGUUCCCGGGCUAGGGGUUGAAUUGGAUCUGCAGCUGCAGGCCUGCGCCACAGCCACAGCCACGCCAGCCAUGAGCUGCAUCUGCCACCUACCCCAUAGCUUGAAGCAAUGUCAGAUCCUUAACCACUGAGCGAGGCCAGGGAUCGAACCUGUGUCCUCAUGGAUCCUAGUCAGAUAUGUUAACCACUGAGCCACAACGGGAACUGCAUCCUCACCUUUUUCAAACAAGGAUCCCUCUUUUCUUUUUUUUUUUUUUUUUUUUUUUUUUUUUUGUCUUUUUGCCAUUUCUUGGGCUGCUCCCCGAAGCAUAUGGAGGUUCCCAGGCUAGGGUCGAAUCGGAGCUGUAGCCACUGGCUUACACCAGAGCCACAGCAACUUGGGAUCCAAGCUGUGUCUGCAACCUAAACCACAGCUCACAGCAACGCCAGAUCCUUAACCCACUGAACAAGGCCAGGGAUCGAACCUGCAACCUCAUGGUUCCUAGUGGGAUUUGUUAACCACUGAGCCACGAUGGGAACUCCAAGGAUCCCUCUUUUAAUAAGAAACAACAGGCAGAUGGAAGGAUAGGGAAUCGUAGCCUCAUGUGUCACUGUGUCAUGACAGUUUACCUGGCAUGUGCAAAAUUGAAAAAUAACAGUUUGAAUAAGUUAAAUUUACUUACUCGAGUAUUUAAAAAAAAGCCUCUUUCCCCCCCUUUACCCCUCUGCUUUGAAGUUCCAUUAAUUAACCAAAGCCGAAGUCUUAGGCAGAGUGGAUUGUGUUUGUAUUUCAGGUACACGAUAAGAAUUAACUUCCGGCUUUCUCCUAGGAAUAUUUUUGUUCUCUCAAGGUCAGAAUUCUGAAAAAAGUAUUUUAGCAAGCCAGCUUUCUCUACCUGCAUAUGCAAAAUGAGCCAAUUCUGGAAUUUCAAGAGUUUCAUCUUAGCCAGUUUUCUUCAGAGUCUAAAGAAUAUUGUGGCCACACAGUAUUAAAUCAUUUUUUCCCCUUUAGUCAUAGGUUCACAGCUAUAAUCAACAUUUCUCUACAGUGUGCCCCAAGGGGCACAUUCCCCAUCCACAAAGACAAGAAAAACAAAACACAGAUGACACCUCCAAAGAAACCAAAUGCUAGCAUCCAAAGAAACCAAGAAUUGGAGUUUCCUAAUGGCUCAGCAGGUUAAAGACCUUGCAUUGGAGUUUUUGUUGUGGUUCAGUGGGUUAAGAACCCAGCUAGCAUCCAUGAGGAUGCAGAUUCAGUCCCUGGCCUUGCUCAGUGGGCUAAGGAUCCAGUGUUGCCUCGAGCUGCGGUACAGGUGACAGAUGUGGCUGGGAUCUGGCGAGGCUGUGGCUGCUGUGUAGGCUGGCAGCUGUAGCUCCGACUCAGCCACUAGCCUGGGAACUUCCAUAUGCUGCAGUGUGGCCCUCAAAAGACACAAAGAGAAAGGAAAAAAAAAAGAAAAAAAAAAAAAA
This 5722-nucleotide long non-coding RNA is filed under the name Sus scrofa (pig). Its description in RNAcentral is "lncRNA (ENSSSCG00035035387.1)". Lineage: Eukaryota; Metazoa; Chordata; Mammalia; Artiodactyla; Suidae. The record is from RNAcentral.